UUUUCAUAGAGAACAAUCCUUUGGUGGCCAAUUACUUUUUAUAAAAUUAAUUCGUUAAAUUCAUUUAUCCAGCAAUUUCUUUUCAAUACAUCAUUUUUUAUAUAUGCAAGAAUUAAAAUCGAGUAAUAAAAAAAAUAUAAUUUUUAACUUGGUUGCAACAUUAUCCAGUCACAUUUUUCUUUUUGUAUUCCUAAUGUACGAUGGGUGAAAUAAAAUAUUCGUCAGGAUGCUUUAACGAUCGAAACAAACGUUAUUAUAUCGUUCUUGUGUUCGCAAGAAUAUAUGAAUUUGCAUAAAUUGUACGACGAACAUCCGAUUGUUUAAGGAAAGAAAACAGGAUGCAGUAAUAACAUUGUAUGUUAAAAACUAACGAUAAAAUGCUUUUGUGAGUGUGUGUGUGUGUAUGUACGUAUAUAUAUAUGUGUGUGUAUAUAUAUUUAUAUAUAAAACUUCCAUAACGAGAAUCAGCCUGUCACCGACGCAGUGUCUUGUUUCACUUCUCGUUCAAAGCGGUACCAGCUUUCGAGAUUUCUAAAUUUUCACCACCACGAUUUUAAAUCGAUUGUAAAAGAUCUCGAUCGGUUCGAGAAUCGAUCGUUUCCAGUCGAACGGAGCUGUUUUCAAUUUACGAAUGAAAAGAGAGGGGGGAAACGUGAUAAUACGAUUAACACGUUGAACAAGGAAAACCAAUUCCACUACGUGAGAUGGAUGAAAUGGAUGGAAAAUUAUGGAGAAUUAUUAAUAUCGGGAAUAAAAACGGAAGAAACGAAAUAUAUGUUUUUCAGCCAUUUUGUAUUAUUGGAAAAUUUUAAAACGCAUCAUCGAGAUUCAAAGAUUAUUUAUUCGUAUAAAUAAUGUUGCAGUGCGAUCAUUAAUAUUUUUGAAAUAUUUUUAAGGAGAUGGAAAACAAUGAAUAAUUCGAAUAAAUAUGACAAUGUGAAUUUUAAAAUUUACUCAAAUUUUCAAACAAAUGUAAUUUAUCACACUGUGUCUAUGUUAGCAUUUGUCUUAUAAAUUUGUGUGAUUUUUCUUACAGUUUUUACAAUCAAUCAACGUAAAUACCAAUGAAAUAAAUUAUUUAAUUUGUGAAUAAUUAGCACUGGCAAUUUAAAAUUUGUUUAAUAUUGUGAGGUAGAUGAUGAUCGAAUCGAUAUUGAUUUCUUAAGAAAUAUUGAACAUUACGCUCGAAUAAUCGUGCAGUUGCAAGAGAUGCAAAAGCCAAGUAAAAGUAUGUUUAAAAAUGAAAGUGAAAGUCGAAUGAGAAAGCGGUUAUUUCUCUGCUGCGAAGAAGUUUUUCAAUGGUAAAAAAAAAAAAAAAAAACUAUGAAAAGAAAUCGAUAGGUAUCGGGCAGAAAGUCGAGAUCGAGGAUUUGAUAAUUUUCAUUGUAUUUCAAUAUAUAAAAAUAUACGAUCGAGGCUUGAAUCUCCCAUUUUUUCUUCCAUUUUUUUCGAAACAACUUUUCAUUUUUGUUAAUUUUCUUUCCUACGAAAAGAAAAGAAAAGAAAAGAAAAAAAAGAAAUUACUUUCAUCUUGGAAUGUUCACCGUAGUAAUAUUAUCGAUAUAUUGUUUUAAUUGAUCAUUUGUUAUAUAAUUAAUUUUACGUAAGAGGCGAGAAAACGCGAUACAAAUUGUUAUUCUCACUUUGAAAUCGGUUGCCAAUCAUAUCGAUCAUACGUUCGAGUAUUUAAUAUGUUCGGUCAGUUCAUGGACAGUUCCGAUAUGAAUUUUAAAUGCAACGUUGAAAACGCGCCUUUUAUGAUGAGACAACAAAGAAGAAUCGCUUCUCACGGCAUUCGAUGGAAAGAAAGAAUCGUGCUCGAUCUACGGUCACACCCUUCUUUUGUGGUAUUCACUUAUUGGAUAUUACCUGGAAUAACGAACUACCGCGAUUUAUCAUGAUUUAUAAGCGAACUUUUUCAUCCAUAAAACCGCGAAACCUGAUUUCGAACACGGUCGUUGCUCGAUCGAGAUUUUACGCUUUUAUCGAUCGCCAUCGAAUACGUUUCAUCGUAAUUAGAUGAUAUCUUCUGUGGAAAGAUUGUAAUAUAGUUUUAUUUCGUGAAUAAACGAGAGAAGAAAGCAUGGUUUGUAUAUUUUUUUUUGUAUAUUUUAAUUUGGAAAGUAUAAGAUAACAGGAUGAUGAGUAAGAAGAGAUUUGCAACAAGUUUUAUAUAAUUUAUACACGUAUACUUUUGAUUGUUAAUGUUUUGCGAAGAAAAUUUUUUUCUAAAUUUUUUAAUCGCCACGCUUUUGAUUCAUUUAAAUCACUUUUAAUAUUCGUGAAAAUAAUAGUCCAAGGAGAUCAUUAAUAAGUGGAUUAAACGUAAAAAAGUGAGAAGUCUAGAAAGCGUGGAAUUAUCUUUCUUAUUUGUUGCAUCUAUGCAACCUCCAGAACUUUUAUUUGCUAUAGUAGAUAUCAUAUUUAUGAUUAUGAUAACUGUUAAGAAAUAAAAUUCAUCAACUUUGCUAGAAUCGAGUUCUAAAUCUGAUUAUUCCUUUCAGAUCAUUACAUACGUCUCUUUUACAAUUUUAAUUGACGUUUAAUUGCUAUUAAAAUGGGGACAAGUAUAAUGUUUGAGUCAUCUCGUGAACUACGACUAAAAGUCGUAUAUAUCGUAUAUCUGUGAUAAUGAGUUUCAAGAAUAGGUCAAAAUAACACUGCUUGUAUAAUGAUAAAUGAAAUAGGAAACUGGUUUCUUGAGAAGAUAUCGUUGCAAUAAUUUAUACGAAUAAAUAAUAAUAUUUAAACCUUAAGUUAUCAAGGUUUGUCUAUUCUUGGAAACGGUGUGUGAAUUAAUGGAGCGCGACGAGAUUCAAUUAUUCAACGUCGCGCGUUCGAUCGAUCGCCGGAGAUUUCAAUGCCUGAUAUCGAUUAAUCGUUCUAAAGACGCGUCUGCGCAUUUGUGUUCGAGAUACGCGCAUGCGCUCUUCCCGCUCAUAAAUUACUGGGAGACGCUUCUCAAUAGUAAAUACUAUGCAGUGAAAAGAUGACACGGAGAAUAUAUCAGUAGGAAGGAAAGGAUAAUUAAUUCUCCAUCGUGAAGAAAAGAGGCGAGUAAAGCGCGGUGAACGAAACGCACAGAAACGGUGCUCACCGGUGCUAGGAACUGCGUUCAAGGAGAACAGCAAACGAAGAAUUACGUAAUUCGGGUUACGUUCUUUUGAUGUACAAAUGAUUUUAACGCGAAACAGGAAAUCACCUUUUUUGCUUUUUUCCACUAGCAAAUCUCGGCAUCGUUCCGUUUCAAGGAUUUAUGGAAGAUCGUUCAACUUGAACGUCCGACGAAAUUGGAACACAAUUUGAAUUUUUAUUUCUUGAAAAUUGAAGAUGGAAAAAAUAAGGUAUAUAUUAAAAGGUAUAAAAGAAACUUUUGUAAAAUUUAUAAAAAUACAAUUUAGAUAUUAAAUAUGUAAUAAUGAUUAAUAACGUAUCGUAUUUAGCAUUCGUAUGUGAAGAUUUAUUAUUAAAUUAAGAUCGUUAUUAUUCUAAUUUUACACGCUCUUUAAUCGUUUUAAAUGGCCGCGCGCCAUAAUUUUUCGAGGUUGAACAUUGAAAACGAGGUGAUUAUUAUUAACACGUGAUAAAAAGUACACGUGUUACGGUGUUAAAAUGAGGACGACGUUCUCGGACCAAUCGGAGCGAGCAAAAACUCUUGCGUGUAUGAGGCAAGGACGAUCAUCGUCGAUUUAAAUGAAACUUGUAGAAAAUUUCCAUUUAGGAUCUAUAAUGGGACCGGUAGAACAAGUUCUACUGGUGUUCUUUUGGCUAUAGUUAAGAAAAAAAAAAAUAAAUAAAUAAAUUGAAAGAUACAUAAGCAACAAGAUACAGGUGUAACGAGUGUUCAAAAUCAAAAUAAUGAAGGAUAAUGAAUCGAUACUCGAGAUAUUAAGCGUUUUUUUUUUAACUAUAAAUCUUAUUUCUGUGGAAAGUUUUUUAUUCUUUUUUUCCGUUUUGACUUUUAAACGACAUUGAAAUUAUAGAGGAAAGAAAAAAAAAUUAAUUUCAAAGUAGCGAAGUAUGAAAUUGUUCGUGGUAUAAAAAAUUAACGAGAUUUAAUUAUAUUUGUAUGAAAUAUUGAUGAUUAAGUAAUAUAUCUUAAGAAACGGUAAUUUUUUUGAGAAAUAUGUUUCUUGUUUUAUUUUCUUGUUAUGUUUAUAAAAAUUAUGGAAGGAAAUAAUAUUUGGAUUCAGAGGAAUGCAUUAUUCAAGAAUUUUAAUUUUAGAAUGUUUACAAAUUGGAUUAUAUUCUUAUAUUAUUUUUAUUUCUUAUUCAAGGAAUUUUUAUUUCCAAAUUUAUUUCCAAAUUAUAUUUAAUCUAAAUAUACAUAAUUGCAUAUGUAUUUCAUUAAUUUUUCAUUCAAUUUCUAUUUUAUAGUUAUUUUGCAUUAAAAUCGCAUAAAUAAAAUUACGUUUUUAGAUUGCCAAUUCCAAUUGCAUAAAUUGAUCUUACUUUCUAUCAAUUGCCUCAAAUCAACUGAAAAUUAUACUAUAUCCAUCUUAUAUUAUUUUAACAUUCAUAAAUUGAAAUAUUUAUAAAAUGAAUAUUAAAAAUAUGAUUUAUUGCAGAUUUUAAACAUUUUGUUAAUAUUACUAUUUUUAUACAUAUUGUGCUUCAAAAUUUUGCCGCGGAAUUUCUUUUUUUCUCUUUUCUUUUCAUAUCACAUUGUUCACAAACGUGAUUUGAAAGAGAGAAAAUUUGCACAUGCUAAUUAAUCAAUCACGUGUUGAAAGUUAAACACUAUAUACCUCGAGCAUUAACGUCUAUUCUCUUUUCCUGCUAACAAGUGAAAGUUCUCAGAAAAGGUUAUGUAUACGUAUACCUACGUACAAUAUGUACACGUGUAUUUACUCGAUCCUCUGCCAAUAAUCAACGAUAAUUUUAAUUUUCUGCUUCGCUAGUGACUUGAGAAGAAUCUGAAUGCCAUUCUACAAAUGUACGUUGAAAGUUGACAUUAAUAAUUUAACGAUUAAUUCGUUAUGAAAAUUCACUAUUUCAUCGAUUUUAAAUAUGAUAUUAACAAUAAUGGAUACACCAAUUAGGAAUGUUAAAUUUUGAAAAAGUAAGUUCACAUAUAUUUAUUUAUUUUUCAUUUUCCUUUGUCAAAAUUAUUUUUUUCUUUCCGUCACCAGAAUUUUCGAUAGAAUUUUUACAUCGAUACGAAAGUAUACAAAGAAGAUGCUGCGCUUUAUUUUCUCGAUGGAAAGGUAUACACGGCGCAACGGAAAGUGGGUUGCCCGUUGCACGCAUCGGCAACAAGUCGCACAGUACAUCGAUUUCUUCUUCGUAUCCCCUCUUCUUUCGCGAAAAAAAUAUCGCGAAAUCCAAUCGAUUUCCUUUUCCUCGCGAGAUAUACACUUUGGAAAUGUAUAUUUCUACGAGUUGGCCCAGUUUCUUCGACCGGCUCGAAAGUAAAAUUGAAAUAGAUAUGCAUGAUGUGUUGCAUGGAAGAUUUCGAUGGAUGGUUAAUGAUAUGGAAAGAAUCAUUCUCUAUUCCAACAGGAAAGAAAAUAUUGUAUAAUUUUUCUAUCAAAAUUUAUUAUAUAAAUUUUCACGAUAAGAUUCAUUUCUAUGAAUUAUAAAUAAAUAGAAUUAGAAUUGGAUGGUGAAGAAUUGAAUGUGCAGAGCAAGAAGCGAAAAAUUGCAAGAGAUACGUUAAUUAACCUCGUGUUUAAGGAACAGUGGAACAGUAUGUGAUUUAUACACAUUCAAAAUAAAUAUGUUGAAUUUAUAUAUAAACGUGCAAUAAUCUGAAUGCAACUCGAGAAACGAUACUCAAACGCAAAAACACGAAGUAAUCACGACUUUCUCGUAAAAUGCUCGAUCAAACGAUAGCAUUGAAUGGAAGAGCGAGGUUUAUUGGACCCAGUGUAGAAUUGCAACCAGAAGCUGGUCGGUAGCCAUUCCUUUCAUUACGUUCACCGAUAUUCUAGAAAGUUGUCACUUGGAGGAGGCCUUCUCUCUUUCGCCCAGUCAGAAACUUGAUGCAACUAACGUUUCUUGCACGAUAAUGGUUUCCUGCUGACCGAUCACAAAUUAGAUUCUCGAAAGUAUCGCGAGAGGCAACUUCCUUCCUAAACACGUAUUUCACGUUUUCAUAAUAUAUUCUUACAAUAUGUACUUCGUAAUCCAAUUUUAGAUGUUCUUGACAAAUUGAAUUUAAUAAUUUAAAUGUCGUGUUGUACGCAACGUAAUCAGUGAUGGGCAAAAUUUUAAUGGUUUAUUUUAAUAAGUUACUCGAAUAAUUUAUUAUUCAAAGUUUAUUCAAAUUAUUCAAAUAAUUAUAAUUAAUUGCAAAAAGUAAUGAAUAAACAUUAUUCAUUUUAAAUAUUAAAAUAACCAACUCUGAAUACGAUUGACGAACAUGACUUGUUAAUAUGUCUACGUUUAAUUUUUUUUAAUUUAAAUAUAAUUCGAGAAAGCACUUAAGCGAAGAAUCCAUUCGAAUCAUAAAUUGAUACAAAUAUAUUUUAUUAUUUAAUAUAAAAGCAAAAUGCAAAAUGUUAAGUAUCUAAAAACAAGAAAAAAAACUCGUUUCAUAUUUUUCUUCAUUUUUCUUCACUUACUGCCUUUCUCCAUAAUUGGAUAGCGUAGAAAUAGUAGAAAUCGUUCGACUUUCAGUAAUCGGUCAAUUGAGAUUAGUUAAUAUAUGCACUAAUAUGCAAAAAUUUCUUGUAAUAUAAAACUGAAAAAGAUAAGAAAAGAUAGGAAUGAAACUUUUGAAGCUUCGUUUUCAAAGAAAACGAGUUUCAAAUCUUUUCAACUACAGAAUUAAUCAUUUUCAAUUAGAUACAAAUAAAUUAUCUAUAAUAAUUGAUUAUUACAUUGUGUGAAAAUAGACAAAAAAAUAUAGAAUCAAAUCGUAUCUUAAAUCUUUGCCUUUGAGAGAAUCCAUAAUAUCUUUUUUUACUUACAUUUUCACACGAACAAUGAAAUACAAUGGAUAAUUCAUUAACAUCUAAUCAAAAAAUAAUCAUUUCAAUUAUAUUCGAAAACAAAGUCUCAAAUUUUGUUCUCUAUUUUUUCCAUUUAUUUUUUCAUUUCUUAUUUACUUCUUACUUUUUCACUUCUUAAAAUCACAAUUUCUUGCCUUUGCUCAAAGUUACUCGAAUAUUUUUAAAAAAAAAAUUUUUUUAAAAAUAUUAUACACAACGAAUGAUCGUUGUAUACCGCUUAUCGCAGUGUGAGGAUCCAUGAUGGCCGCUAAAUCGAGCGUCUCAUCCUCGGCCCGCGUUCGAUUUCUAUCGUUCUGGCGCUGAGGUUACAGCGCGAUAACGCGAGGAGAGUCCGCUUUCACUCGCGACCAGGAAGAAAACGAGUUGCAUCAACGGAUGAUUGCUACGGCGAUAUUUAUUUAACUUUCGAAGUUUUGAGGAAUAGCUCGAGGACCGAUACGGUCUCCGGUUUGCGGUCUCCUCUUUGAGGAUUAUCUUUCAAGUUUUUGCAACUUGGAGAAACAUUCGUGGGAAGCGAAUUAGUAGAUAUUAUUCAAUCGCGUUGUAUAACCGUUAGUUACAUUUUUUUAAUUAUACCAUUAUUAAUUGAAUUUUGUUUGUUAUCGAUGAUAAUAAUAAUAGUCGUGACAAAGCGAUAUAACGUCGAGAUACUUGCUAUUGUUAUUAUUAUUUUUUAAAUAUUCGUUCUUUAUAAUAAUAAUAAUAAGAAUAAUAAUAAUGGUAUCUUAUUUUGUUUGAUUCCGUGAGAAAAGUUAUGAAAGGAACGUUUACGCGAUGUACAUCGGAAGAAAACUUUUGCAUUUUAAUUCUGAAUUCGUUAGAGAUGUAAUACCUACGUUGAAUUGGAUUUUAUGUACACUUCAAUCCAUUAUCCAAACAUUUCUUUUUUUUUUUUUUCUUUGCAAUUCUAAUAAUUUUCUAAUAAUCGUGGUAAUUGAUUUUACAUCGUUAUCAAUAUAAUGAAAAAUUUAUUAAUGUUGAAAUGAACGUUAGAAACGUUCAAACUGCUUAGUGGUAUACUUAUAUCGUUCGUAGUGCAAUAAAACAGUGGAAAAUAAUUAAAUAGCGUAUCGUAAUCCUGGUAUGUUAAUAAUAUGUAUAAAAUUUACGAGUUACAGAUUAUACGUAUUAUAAAUGACGAUAUGACGAGUUGGAUAUUUUUAUAUUGAAAUUAACGACUAAUUUUACGUUAUCGAUGAAAUUUUCUUUAAAAAAUUUUUAUUACAGGAAUUAAUGAUAUUAUAUAGAACAAUAUUUUUGUCACUUAUCACUCUCUACGUUCAAAAGAUAUUUCAAAGAGAAUAUUUUAUCUUU
This is a long non-coding RNA of Apis cerana (Asiatic honeybee), 8270 nucleotides long. RefSeq lists it as uncharacterized. The record is from RefSeq and is a predicted model, not a curated record. Lineage: Eukaryota; Metazoa; Arthropoda; Insecta; Hymenoptera; Apidae.